This 638-nucleotide ribosomal RNA is filed under the name uncultured bacterium. RNAcentral's name for it is "partial 16S ribosomal RNA". It matches the Rfam family "Bacterial small subunit ribosomal RNA", at positions 1 to 627 of the family's 1533-position model. The record is from RNAcentral.
GAAUUCACUAGUGAUUAGAGUUUGAUCAUGGCUCAGGAUGAACGCUGGCGGCGUGCUUAACACAUGCAAGUCGAACGGGGUCAUUAAGGAAAAAUCCUUCGGGAUUCGGAAUUCUUGACCUAGUGGCGGACGGGUGAGUAACGCGUGAGCAAUCUGCCUUUGGAUGGGGGAUAACAGCCGGAAACGACUGCUAAUACCGCAUAAUGCAGCGGGACCGCAUGAUUUUGCUGCCAAAGAUUUAUCGUCCAAAGAUGAGCUCGCGUCUGAUUAGCCAGUUGGCGGGGUAACGGCCCACCAAAGCGACGAUCAGUAGCCGGACUGAGAGGUUGAACGGCCACAUUGGGACUGAGACACGGCCCAGACUCCUACGGGAGGCAGCAGUGGGGAAUAUUGCGCAAUGGGGGAAACCCUGACGCAGCAACGCCGCGUGAGUGAAGAAGGCCUUCGGGUUGUAAAGCUCUUUAAUCAGGGACGAAGAAUGACGGUACCUGAAGAAUAAGCUCCGGCUAACUACGUGCCAGCAGCCGCGGUAAUACGUAGGGAGCAAGCGUUAUCCGGAUUUACUGGGUGUAAAGGGCGUGUAGGCGGGCCUGCAAGUCAGAAGUGAAAUCUGGGGGCUUAACCCCCCAAACUGCUUU